RNAcentral lists this long non-coding RNA (238 nucleotides) under Ananas comosus (pineapple). RNAcentral describes it as "long non-coding RNA (ACOM_LNC036067)". The record is from RNAcentral. Lineage: Eukaryota; Viridiplantae; Streptophyta; Magnoliopsida; Poales; Bromeliaceae.
AUAGUCAAUGCAAAUGGGUCAAACUGGUCUAACAACCAAAGCUCACGUGCCCUCGGCACAAUCUGAAACAAGAUGCAAACAUCCGGAUCCACCGUCAACCCCGACGGCACCCAACAGCAUAGAACAGUCUAAACACUACUGUAAAACAAGCUCAGCCCCUCAGCACGAGCAUAACCUCAACCUACACUAAUCUGAGUACCACUACGCACUAACAGCGGUGAUACAAAAGAAUAACAGC